AUGGCCGAGUCCGCUAUUGGCAUCGUUCUAGGGAACGUGAACAAUCUUGCUGUUCGGGAGACCAGUCUCUUAUGUGGCGUCACCCUUGAAGUGACCUUCCUGAAAGAUGAGCUGAUGCGGCUGCAGGGCUACCUCAAAGACGCUGAGAGAAAACGAAGAUCUGGAAAUGCAACAGUUGCUAUCUUGGUGAGCCAGAUCAGGGAUGCUGCAUAUGAGGCUGAGAAUGUCAUCGAAGCUGCAGAUUACAUGAAGAAGAGAAACAUGAUCAAGAAGGGCUUCAUGGGAGCAAUUGCAAGGUAUGCUCGCUUACCGAGUGACUUGAAUACCCUUCAUAAAGUUGGUGUUGAAAUUCAGCGUAUAAGAAGGAAGCUUGAUGAGAUAUUUCAGAGCAUAGAACGCCUGAAUAUUGAUUUGGAUAGUCAUGUUAUGGAUGAUUCUGUAGAAGAUUGUGGCCUUAUGCACCAGCACUUUAAGGAUGAUGUUACAAUGGUUGGUUUUGAGGACGAGUACAAAGAAAUAGUGGAUAAACUAGUGGAGGGAGAAAAUAUGCUUAGUGUUGUCUCCAUAGUUGCAAUGGGUGGGGCAGGAAAGACAACACUUGCUGCAAAAGUAUACACUGCAUCUCAAGUCAAACAACACUUUGAGCAACUUGUUUGGGUUAUUGUGUCUCAGAAGUUCAAGGUCAUUGAUUUACUAAAGGAGAUUUUGAAGCAAAUAUCAAGUGAUGAAGGUCAGUCUAGAAAAUUUGAUGACAUGAAUGAGUAUGAGGUGGGAAAGAAGAUCCACGAUAUCCUCAUCCAAAAAAAUACUUGGUAG
This 816-nucleotide ribosomal RNA is filed under the name Triticum aestivum (bread wheat). Its description in RNAcentral is "partial small subunit ribosomal RNA". The record is from RNAcentral. Lineage: Eukaryota; Viridiplantae; Streptophyta; Magnoliopsida; Poales; Poaceae.